RNAcentral lists this microRNA (19 nucleotides) under Mesocestoides corti. RNAcentral describes it as "mco-miR-219-5p". Its record names the gene mco-miR-219-5p. The record is from miRBase by way of RNAcentral. Lineage: Eukaryota; Metazoa; Platyhelminthes; Cestoda; Cyclophyllidea; Mesocestoididae.
AGAUGUGUGUAUGGGCAUC